AUGCAAUUCGGUCACCAUGCUGCACUGAGCCCGCCCCUGCUGCAGCCCUUGUUCCCACUGGCUGCAGUCUGCUCGCACUCCGAAUACACUGCAAUCCCUCCGCUCCAUGCACGCUCUGCAGCUCCCCUUGCACCCUGCAAGCCCCCAUUCACCCUGUACUGCCCUUGCAUCCCCCUGCACCCCGCAUGCACAGCACCACGCUGCAGCCCCGUUACAUCCUGCAUGCAUUGCAUCCUCCCCGCACCCUGCAGCCCCCCGCCUCGCUCCCACCCCAGCAGCCGCCAUCACGAGCGCGACCCACCCGCCCCCUCCCACCCUCCGCCGCCGCGUAACGCCCGCCCUUCCCCGGCUGCGGGGCGGAGCUGGGCGGGCAGUAGCAAUGCGCAUGGGCCCCGGUGCCGAACGGAGCCUUUCUCUGCGCCGGGGAGCGCGAGUGUGAGGGGGGUGUGUGCCGGUUGGAUGCGGUUCCCCCUCCCGGAGCGUCCUCCGUCGGUUCUGCGUCCGUCGCCCAUUCACCUGCCCGGACGGCGGCCAUGGAGGCGGUACGAGGCUGGUAGGCGGCGGGCAGGGCCUCCGCUGCGGCGGGGCGAGGUGAGAGCGGGGCGGAACGAUGCGGGGAGGAGUGGGGGGUGGGGGGCUUUGUCAGCGCCGACGGCCGCGCUGCCUCUCGGGGCCGGUGAAGGAACAGCGCCGUGCGGCUCCAUCUCCAGCCGGUGGGUUCCGGGCAUUUUUAUCCUUGUUUUCUUUAUUUUAUUUGAAUUUUUUUCCUCCUUUCCAUCGGGGAUCAGUGCGGUCGGUCCGUGCUCGCUCACCGUAGGAGGUGGGAAGCGGCAGAGCGCAGCGCCCGGCUGUACUCGCGGGGCUCCGUGCGCCGCUGCCCGCAGCCUCGUGUCGGAUCCUCGCUGCGCUCUGAGCCCUUUGUGCGACAGGCACGCGGCCCUUUGGAACCGUUUAAAGCCCCCCUACACCAUGCGGGGGGAUCCCCGCACACCCCGUGGCUCCGGGGCUGCCGUCGGACCGCGGAAAGGCGUGGGGUGCCCCGGGUUGGGGGGUCUCCCUGGUUGGCUCAGCGCUCCGUGCGGUGGGGAUGGCGGUGUUGGGUGUUCAAAGGGAGGAUCCGGAGUGCUGCGGGUGAAUUGUGGCUUCUGCAGAACGUCAGGUGUGCCUUGA
This 1170-nucleotide long non-coding RNA is filed under the name Coturnix japonica (Japanese quail). Its description in RNAcentral is "lncRNA (ENSCJPG00005006107.1)". Lineage: Eukaryota; Metazoa; Chordata; Aves; Galliformes; Phasianidae. The record is from RNAcentral.